Non-coding RNA from Cherax quadricarinatus, 7094 nucleotides. The record is from RefSeq and is a predicted model, not a curated record. Lineage: Eukaryota; Metazoa; Arthropoda; Malacostraca; Decapoda; Parastacidae.
GGUAUUACUGUGACGUCAUCGCCCAGUCGAACCGGCCACCUCAGCUGAGUUGGUCGUGUAGAAGAAACUAGUGCGUGCCUUACACAUAUAUGCAUUUUAAAUACACAUUACAGUAUAUCCUAGUUUAAACAAAUAUAGUUUUAACCAGCAAGGAGCAGCUUUACAACAAAUAUAAGAUCAGGUGAAACAGACGAGGAACCAGCAGCAUGUUUGGCUUCCUGAAGAAUGUUGUGGAGGAUGUAGUAGACAGCGCCCAGGAUGAGAGAAACCGACCCAACAACCCUCCACAAGGUUAUUAUGGCGGGGCUCAUGACGGACAGUAUGGCGGAGGGCCACAGUAUGGAGGUCAAAAUCAAUAUGGUGGCAGUGGCCAGCAGGAAUAUUAUGGUGGGGGUCAUCAGCGAGGAGGUGGAGCAGACCUGGUGUCAGGUUUAAUUGGUGGAUUCCUUGGUGGUGGUGAGAAAAACCAGCCACAAGGUGGUGGCCAAUAUGGGCCUGGUCCAUAUGGUCCUCCUCAGGGUCAGUAUGGAGGUGGCCCAUAUGGCCCUCCUCCAGGUCAGUAUGGUGGAGGUUAUGGCCCUCCACAAGGUCAGUAUGGACCAGGAGGACAGGGAGGGUAUGGGCCACCACCAGGCCAAUAUGGACCAGGACAGGGAGGGUAUGGGCCACCACCAGGCCAGUACGGACCAGGCGGACAGGGAGGGUAUGGGCCACCACCAGGGCAGCAGCAAGGUGGCGGUGCAGACAUGGCAGGCAUGGCAGCAAACCUCAUCGGUGGGAUUUUUGGUGGUGGUGGCGGCAGUGGUGGUGGUUAUGGUCAGGGGCAACAAAGGAAUGAUGGUAUGAGUGACCUUAUAUCUGGAAUGGCUUCAAACUACAUUGGUGGGAUGGUUAGUGGCAACCAGAGUAACACAACAAGUAACAAGCAAGUUAACACUAACAACGAUUUGGUUUCGAGUAUCACAUCUGGACUCGUCCAGGGAUUGUUCAGUGGACAGGCAGGUGGGCAAGGUAGCUAUGGCAACACAAGCAGUGCUGGACAGAAUCAAGUUGUUACCAGCAUUGCUUCAGCUGUCAUCAAAGGCUUAUUCAGCAGUGAAGGUGGACAGGGUGGAGGCAUAGCUGCUGCCAUGCAGAAGUGUGGAAUGAAUCAGAACAUGCUGGCUGGUAUUGCAUCCAGUAUCUUUUCUGCAUUUAUGAGCAACAACCAGGCCAAGCAGAAUGUUGCCAAUGCUCCUCCACCUGCCAACGAUUCUGUUAUUGCCAACGUUACUACCAAUGUUAUCAAAGGGUUAAUCAGCGACGACAAGGGUAACAUUAAUCAGAUUCAGAAAACUGGAGUGAACGAAGACGUGGCUGGAGCCAUAGCUUCAAAUGUUGCUAAGGGUCUCUUCAGUGGUAAUGAGAUGGAUUCAGCAUACAAGAGUGCAUCUCCAGCUGCCAAUGAGGAACUAAUAAGCUGUAUAACAACCAGUGUUGUGAAGGGUCUCAUAAGCAACAGUCAGGAUUCCGUUGGCAGUGAGAAGGCAGGAGUCAGUGACACAGUCAUCGCAAAUUUGGCAGCUAAUGCUGUUCGUGAAUAUAUGAGCGGGAACAAGGGUGGCCAAGGUGAUGGCUCUGGUGGUGGAGAUUUUGUUUCCAACAUGGCGUCGUCAGUCAUUGGCAAUCUCUUCAGAGGUGAGAGUGGCCAGUCUACCACAGAGAGGACUGGCCUCAACAGUGGAAUGGUCUCGAGCAUUGUGGCCAGUGUUGUCAGGAAUGUCAGGGGUCGACCUCAAGCACCGGGAGGUGAGAUUGAUGGUGUUAAUGAUGAUAUUGUGGCAGCAGUAACCUCUUCAGUCAUCAAGGAAAUCAUCAGUCAGGACACUGAGGGAAAAAUUCUCCCAUCGAAUGAUGCAAAUGCCAAUAGUCCAAUCGUCGCCAGUAUUGCUUCUAAAAUCGUCCAAAAUAUAAUGAGUGAGGAGAGUAAUGAUGAGAGAGUGAAAGCCGUCCAGCGAGGUGAGGUCGACAGCAGCUUCUUGAAUGGAAUCAUCUCCAGUGUGAUUAGUGGAAUGAUCGGUGGCCGACAAGGUGGUGGAGGUGGUAGUGGUGGAAUUGGUAAUGAUCUGAUAUCUGGUAUGGCUUCCCAGUACAUCGGUAAUUUGAUAAGUGGAGGAGGAGGAGGACAAAGCCAAAGACCACAAAAGACUGAAGAUGAUGUUCUCUCUGGUAUUGCUUCAAGUGUUAUUGGAGGCCUUGUUGGUGGUGGAGGCGGUGGAGGCAGCCAGCCAACACAAUCUGGAGGUGCAAUUGCUUCAAAUAUUAUUGGCAAGAUUGUCAGUGGCGGUGGCGGUGGUGGCGGAGUUUCAGACGAUCUUAUUAGCCAGAUUGAUGUCCAUGGGCCAGGACCAGUACCUACCAGACCUUCCUUACCAGGUGGGCCCUCAGGUAUCCCAAGAGGUUUUCCUGGAAUACCCGGGAGCCUACCUGGACAGCCAGGGGGUCAGGUGGGGCCAGUGACGUCUAUGUACCGAGCCAUUGCCGCCACAGCCGUGGAGGCUGUCAUAGGCAACAAACUGGGCGAAGGUGUGAUCGGUGAUGUUGUCAAGGCGACCUCCACCGAUGUCUUAGCUGAGGUCAUGGAGGGUGCAGUGGGGGCUCAGUUCUCUAGGAAGGAGGAUGGAGAGAUCGUUGAAAAUCUGAGCCAAACCCAAGUUGAUCCCUCAAAGCACCGCAUCUUCCCUGAUGCUGCAGGGUCAAGGUGGCCCAUGCAAGCAAGAUUUGGUCUUUCUCCAAGUUCACUGAUCUCAUCGUUCAUGAGUAAGGGUGCUUACCACCUGAGGAAUCGUCUUUUCCAGGGAGGUCGUGCAAGGGAAGCUUUUGUCAGUCCAGCCCAUGCUGUCUUUAGGUUUGGGGAGCGAGGAUCAGGACUGCGGCCCAGAGGAGAAAUACAGGACUUCUACAGUCUCCGUCAGCAGUGCCUUGAUGAGGGUACUCUUUUUGAAGAUCCAGAGUUCGCUGCUGAGGAUUCUUCUAUCUUCUUCUCCCGCUCUCCUCCCAAACCCUUCGAGUGGAAGCGCCCCCAUGAGAUCAUGGCCUUAAAGGAAAUCACAGAUGAGCCCCAACUCUUUAUUGAUGGUGCCUCACGCUUUGAUGUUAAGCAAGGAGAACUGGGUGACUGUUGGCUUUUGGCAGCUGUGGCCAACUUGACCUUGAACAAGCGUCUCUUCUACCAGAUUGUACCAAGUGACCAAGGAUUUGGAGACAACUAUGCUGGCAUAUUCCACUUCAGGUUUUGGCAGUAUGGACGUUGGGUUGAUGUUGUGAUUGAUGAUCGACUUCCCACCUUCUAUGGCCGUCUUGUUUUUAUGCACUCUGAAGAAAGGAAUGAAUUUUGGUCUGCCCUUCUUGAGAAAGCUUAUGCUAAAUUGCAUGGCUCAUAUGAGGCCCUGAAGGGAGGCACUACUUGUGAGGCCAUGGAAGACUUCACUGGUGGUGUGUCUGAAAUUUAUGACCUCACCAAGGCUCCACCAAAUCUCUUCAACAUCAUGCUAAAGGCUUACGAGCGUGGAUCCCUAAUGGGAUGCUCUAUUGAACCUGACCCAAAUGUAGUGGAGGCUCGCUGUGAUACUGGCCUCAUUCGUGGUCAUGCCUAUUCCGUCACGAGAAUAAAGUAUUGUGAGAUCAACACGCCUAGAGUGUCUGGAAAGAUUCCACUAGUCCGUAUUCGUAAUCCUUGGGGCAAUGAAGCAGAAUGGCAGGGAUCGUGGAGUGACCAGAGUCCUGAGUGGCAGUUUAUUCCUCCAGAGGAGAAAGAAGAGAUUGGUCUGACUUUCGAACAUGAUGGAGAGUUCUGGAUGUCCUUUAAAGACUUCUUAAGAAAUUUCACAAUGCUGGAAUUAACCAACUUGAACCCAGACUCCCUGGAUGAUGAGGACAUAGCUGGAGCUGUUAAGCACAAAUGGGAGAUGAGUGUGUUUGAAGGAGCUUGGAUUCGUGGCUCCACAGCUGGUGGCUGUAGAAACUUCUUGGCUACAUUCUGGCACAAUCCUCAGUACAGAAUCACACUGACAGAAGUCGAUGACGAUGAUGAUGACAACAAGUGUACUGUUAUUGUAGCUCUCAUGCAGAAGAACCGCCGGUCACAGAGAAAGCUGGGUCUAGAGUGCCUUACAAUUGGUUUUGCCAUCUAUCAUCUACGAGAUCCAGAGAAUGCUCCACGUCCCCUAGAUUUGAACUUCUUCAAGUACAGUGCAUCAGUGGCACGUUCUCCUUCUUUCAUCAACAUGCGUGAGGUGUCAUGCCGCUUCAAACUUCCCCCUGGCACAUACUGCAUUGUUCCAUCAACAUUUGAAGCCAAUGAGGAAGGAGAGUUCAUUCUUAGAGUGUUCUCCGAGAAGGCUAAUGAGAUGGAAGAAAACGAUGAAAGUGUUGGCUUUGGACAAGUAGAUGAGAGGGAUGAACAAGAUGGAGGCAAAUUUCGAAGCUCAUUGGUACGUAAAGUACGGCCAGAGGCAGAUGAAUCUCAGGAGCCUGAGGUAGAUGAGAGGAUUCGUGGGUUCUUCAGGAAGGUGGCAGGAGAAGACCUGGAGAUUGAUUGGAAGGAGUUGCAGGAUGUACUUAACUUUGCUCUCAAGAGAGAGUUCAACUUUGAGGGAUUCAGCAAGGAUGUAUGUCGCAGCAUGAUUGCCAUGAUGGAUGUAGACCGCUCAGGUAAACUUGGCCUUCAAGAAUUCCUACAACUGUGGACAGAUAUCAGGAUCUGGAAGAAUGCCUUCAAGCUUUAUGAUAAGGACAGUUCUGGCCUUCUGUGCUCCUUUGAGCUUCGGCAAGCACUAAACUCUGCUGGUUACCGCCUGAACAACCACAUCUGCAAUGCUCUUACACUCCGCUACGGUGACAAGGAAGGAAGGAUUUCCUUUGAUGAUUUCAUAAUGUGUUCUGUGAAGCUCAAAACAAUGAUGGGCCUUGAAGAUGAUCCAGAGAAACUGCAAGAAUUCUAUGAUGAACUUAUGGCUGAAGUGGAGGAUAGACCAGAGGAGGAGGAUCAGGAGGAAGAUCAGGAAGAAGAAUAGAAGAAUAAAGCACAGAAAUUUUACUACCCCUAAAAUCUUAACUGGAAAAUAGAUUUUCCAAGAGAGGGAUCCAGAGGCAACCUUAAGUGCCACCUUCACCUUAGAAGAAUGGAUUGAGAAUACGAUGUAUUCUUAAAAACUUGGACUUGUUGCUUAUGAUAACAUGAGUAAUGGUUUAGCUUCUCCAAAUUUAUAUCUGGUUUAUAUCUUAAACUCACAGAGUAUUACCAGUCAGGAACUGAACAGGAUGAUGCGAUGUACAAAAGUUAUUGUUAAAUAUAGAUAAUAUUGUAAACCAUUUUUUUAACUUAUAUGAAAAGCUGCACUUCAUUCUAAAGGUAUAACAACUGAUAUUUUAAUGAUUAUGACAAAAUUUAACUAAAAUCUAUUCUGGUUGUAGACAUCCAUUGCCAGUGAUUCUCAAAGAUAUCUUUAGCGUAUCGUAUUAAAAAAAAAUUUGAUCUAAAGCAGUUACUGAGCUGAGGUAGUUGUAUAACUCUUGAGGAUUUAACUCUUUCCAAUGAUCGUGUAAUGAGUUGGCAAUAAAUGUGGCUUUUAGAGAUACAUAAUGCAACACUUCUUGUUUAGACCCCAGGGAAGAAAUGAAAAUACAUAACUUAAAAAGUUAUUAAUUAUCAGGUGUGUGUUCUAGAAUAUUAAGAUUUCCAAUCUAAAUGUAUAUUUAAGUAAUGAUACAGAUAUAAUUUCAGUAUGCUUACUUAAGGUGGCCUUAAGGUAACAUAUAACUAUCUUAAAUCCUGACGACAAUGAUGCAUUCAGCUAGGUCUCACUUCACAUGAAUUUGACUAGUGACAAAUAUACAAAAUUUAGUUUAUUCAGGUUGAUGUCCGAUUUUCGUACCAAAUUUAAAUUUCUUAUGCUUACAUGUAUCUUAUAAUUCUAAAUGACAGCAUUUUAUUGGUGCAUGUGUUGCCAUUAUUUGAUAGAUAUUAGUAGUUUCUUUAUAUAAUGCUGUUAGGCUGUUGCUUUAGUAGUCAUGAAUGCUUUUGCACAAUGUGUUAUGCAUAUGGAAAUGUAAACACAGCAGUGUUGUGUAAUAUACACUGAAUAUCAGUGAAUACAGAAAACAGCCAUAGUCCAUCCAUUUGUAAAACAUUCAUCAGGAAUGUCAAGGUUUGCUCCUGCAUGCUAUUUUAUCAUAAAAAAUAUAUUAAAGAAAAUGUUUGUUUUACAUAUGGUGGGAUAUCACCAGAAUCAGAACUUAUGGUGCUAUAUAUACUGUGUGUAUGUAUGUAUACAUACAUAUUUACAUACAUAAUUUUAACUUAAAUGUUUUAAUGGAAAUAACUUCACAGAAGUCAACACUAUACUGUAUUAACAAAAUAAAACAUGAGCAUGAUUUUCAUUGGAUAUUUUGUGUUAAAUACUGUAGUUGCAGUUUUGGUUUUCACAGUAAAUGCAGUAUGUAUGUGUCUUAGCCAUUAAUAACUUUUUAUAGAUCAUGACAUAAUUUUAACUAUAUUUGUAAUGGUACAGGUAUUAAUUUUUUUAUCAAUAACAUAUGCAUCUGUAUGUCUGACUUAAAAUGUAUAGCAUAGUUGAAAUGUCAGUUUAGUUUUAGAGGGGAAUGAUGUUAUUACUUUGCCAUUUGUGUUUGCUGAAGAAAAUGACUAUAUAUGAAUACUUGAGGCUACCCAUAUUCAAAGUAUCUUAACACCAUAUAACUAGUAGUCUUCUUUACGACAAAAUAUACAUAGUAACACAUUCUAUUGCAGUACUACACAUUAUAAAUCAUUUUUGUAUUUAUGUAUGUAACUUUUAAUUAAUACCUUGUUGAAAUAUUAGAAUUCACCACAAAUUGCUAAAUUGCAAAACUUUUUUUAAUUAUUAAUACAAAGUACUGGUUAUUUAAUCUACAAAAAAGUAUAAAUUAAUAUUAUAGCUUUCUGUUUGUACAUUUAGCCAAUUUAUCAUUUUUCAAAAUAACUGAUUUAUACAGUAUUUACAAAAUACCUAAUAAAAAUGUAAAUUAUAAUGUAUAUCAAGUUACUGGUGACAAAUAUACUGUACAAAUUUAAA